AUCUACAGCCAUAUCACCCUGAACGUGCCGGAUCUCAUCUGAUCUCAGAAGCUAAGCAGGGUCAAGCCUGGUUAGUACUUGGAUGGGACUCUCUAUUAUAUAUCAGAAUUUAGGUGUAUAAU
Molecule: ribosomal RNA, 122 nt
Filed under: Sorex araneus (European shrew)
Lineage: Eukaryota; Metazoa; Chordata; Mammalia; Eulipotyphla; Soricidae
Source: RNAcentral